GACGAACGCUGGCGGCGUGCUUAACACAUGCAAGUCGAACGUGAUUUUUGUGGAAAUUCUUUCGGGAAUGGAAAUGAAAUGAAAGUGGCGAACGGGUGAGUAACACGUGAGCAACCUACCUUACACAGGGGGAUAGCCGUUGGAAACGACGAUUAAUACCGCAUGAGACCACAGAAUCGCAUGAUAUAGGGGUCAAAGAUUUAUCGGUGUAAGAAGGGCUCGCGUCUGAUUAGCUAGUUGGAAGGGUAAAGGCCUACCAAGGCGACGAUCAGUAGCCGGUCUGAGAGGAUGAACGGCCACAUUGGAACUGAGACACGGUCCAAACUCCUACGGGAGGCAGCAGUGGGGAAUAUUGCACAAUGGGGGGAACCCUGAUGCAGCGACGCCGCGUGAGCGAAGAAGGUUUUCGAAUCGUAAAGCUCUGUCCUAUGAGAAGAUAAUGACGGUAGCAGAGGAGGAAGCCCCGGCUAAAUACGUG
RNAcentral lists this ribosomal RNA (478 nucleotides) under uncultured bacterium. RNAcentral describes it as "partial 16S ribosomal RNA". It matches the Rfam family "Bacterial small subunit ribosomal RNA", at positions 28 to 507 of the family's 1533-position model. The record is from RNAcentral.